UACGAAGGGGGCUAGCGUUGUUCGGAAUCACUGGGCGUAAAGGGCGCGUAGGCGGCCGAUCAAGUCGGGGGUGAAAGCCUGUGGCUCAACCACAGAAUUGCCUUCGAUACUGUCUGGCUUGAGACCGGAAGAGGUAAGUGGAACUGCGAGUGUAGAGGUGAAAUUCGUAGAUAUUCGCAAGAACACCAGUGGCGAAGGCGGCUUACUGGUCCGGUUCUGACGCUGAGGCGCGAAAGCGUGGGGAGCAAACAGG
This 253-nucleotide ribosomal RNA is filed under the name uncultured bacterium. RNAcentral describes it as "partial 16S ribosomal RNA". It matches the Rfam family "Bacterial small subunit ribosomal RNA", at positions 524 to 776 of the family's 1533-position model. The record is from RNAcentral.